UAUUCCAGUACCACCAUGUUCGCGUCCGUCCCAAUACUCUGUUGCUAAGGGGCUGUGUUGACUUCGGUCAACGCGAACCGACCCACAUUGUUGCGGGAAGCUGUAGGGGGACGCAGGAAGGUAGAUGAACCCGGUGAAUGGUAGAACCGGGGUAAGCGUGUAGGAGGAGGACCAGGUAAAUCCGGGCCUCAUAAACUCUGAGACGUGAUACCGAGCCGCUUCAGGCGAAGUCAUUGAUCCUAUGCUGCCUAGAAAAGCCCAGCAGCGAGUUGACAUGGUGCCCGUACCCCAAACCAACACAGGUGGACAGGUAGAGCAUACCAAGGCGAGUGGGAUAACUAUGGUUAAGGAACUCGGCAAAUUGCCUCCGUAACUUCGGGAGAAGGAGGACCCCAGUAGCGUGAUGAGACUUGCUCUCUGAGCGUGAAGGGGUGGCACAAAAUUGAGGGAAGCGACUGUUUACCAAAAACACAGCAGCGUGCUAAGCCGUAAGGCGCUGUAUACGCUGUGACUCCUGCCCGGUGCUGGAAGGUUACGGGGAUGGGUUAGUCCUUCGGGACGAAGCUCUGAACCUAAGCCCCAGUAAACGGCGGCCGUAACUAUAACGGUCCUAAGGUAGCGAAAUUCCUUGUCGGGUAAGUUCCGACCUGCACGAAUGGAGUAACGACUUCCCUACUGUCUCAACCAUAGACCCAGCGAAAUUGAAGUACGAGUAAAGAUGCUCGUUAGCUGCAGAAGGACGGAAAGACCCCGUGGACCUUUACUAUAACUUGAUGUUGUGUUUUGUCAUAUGUUGUGUAGGAUAGGUGGGAGACUUGGAAGCAUGGACGCUAGUCUGUGUGGAGUCAUCGUUGAAAUACCACCCUGCAUAUGGUGAGGCUCUAACCUAGACCCGUUAUCCGGGUUGGGGACAGCGUCAGGCGGGUAGUUUAACUGGGGCGGUUGCCUCCUAAAGAGUAACGGAGGCGCCCAAAGGUUCCCUCAGCCUGGUUGGCAAUCAGGCGUUGAGUGCAAUGGCAAAAGGGAGCUUGACUGCGAGACCUACAAGUCGAGCAGGAGCGAAAGCUGGGCAUAGUGAUCCGGCGGUUGCGUGUGGAAGCGCCGUCGCUCAACGGAUAAAAGGUACCCCGGGGAUAACAGGCUAAUCUUGCCCAAGCGUCCAUAGCGACGGCAAGGUUUGGCACCUCGAUGUCGGCUCAUCGCAUCCUGGGGCUGAAGCAGGUCCCAAGGGUUGGGCUGUUCGCCCAUUAAAGCGGUACGCGAGCUGGGUUCAGAACGUCGUGAGACAGUUCGGUCCCUAUCCUCUGCAGCCGGAGGUGAAUUGAGGAAAGCUGUCCCUAGUACGAGAGGACCGGGACGGACGCAGCUCUCGUGUGCCAGUUGUCCUGCCAAGGGCAUGGCUGGUUAGCGACCUGCGGAAAGGAUAACCGCUGAAAGCAUCUAAGCGGGAAGCCUCUUCCAAGAUGAAUUCACCCACAGGGUUAACCUGGUAAGGCCCGUGGUAGACCACCACGUUGAUAGGCCGGAAGUGUAAGCGUGGCAACACGUUCAGCUGACCGGUACUAAUCGGCCGAGGGCUUGAGUUA
RNAcentral lists this ribosomal RNA (1586 nucleotides) under metagenome. RNAcentral's name for it is "bacterial LSU rRNA". It matches the Rfam family "Bacterial large subunit ribosomal RNA", at positions 1392 to 2925 of the family's 2925-position model. The record is from RNAcentral.